Hermetia illucens (black soldier fly) is the source of this 509-nucleotide long non-coding RNA. RefSeq lists it as uncharacterized. The transcript is spliced from 3 exons. NCBI's taxonomy places the organism in Eukaryota, Metazoa, Arthropoda, Insecta, Diptera, Stratiomyidae. The record is from RefSeq and is a predicted model, not a curated record.
ACAUUUGAGGCUGGUGGUGGACAACUCGUUCACUUUUGAUCAAGUCGUCUUCCAAGAUGGUUGGGUUUGCUGUAGUAAAUCAUAGAGGUUUUCCGAGUUUGGGCGGAAAAAACACUUUGCAAUGUAGCUGACAACAGUGAACGCAUAGAUGUGAUUACCUGGGAAUAUUUCCGGCAGUAAAAUGCCUGGAGUGGUUUAACCUACAAAGUACUAUGCCACGCGGUUGACUGGAACAUCAUGGUGUGGCGUCGUGGGAAUCAGUUCUGAGGUAAGCACAUUGUUUUAACUCUUACAAUCAUAAUCGUGAUGAAUAAUACGGAUAGACAAGCAUAUAACCGAAUAACAUAUGUGGAUUAUUUUGACUGAUACCCAAAGAUCUAUAAUAAAGUGUAAUCUUGCGGCCUAAAGUUCUCAUUGAACCACUUUUUUCCAGGUGCAGGACAUAUCAAAGGAACGCUGUUCGCACGUGGGGCGUCUCCUGUUUGCAUUAGAAGAUUGCCCGGAACCCG